UUUUAGGCCUACCGAGUGGUCUAAGAGAGUUAUCGGGUCAGGCCCUGACAGGAGCAGCCCGGACUCUCUUAGAUCAUGUCGGUAGGUCUUAAUAAU
Molecule: signal recognition particle RNA, 96 nt
Filed under: Nautiliaceae bacterium
Lineage: Bacteria; Pseudomonadati; Campylobacterota; Epsilonproteobacteria; Nautiliales; Nautiliaceae
Description: signal recognition particle sRNA small type
Rfam family: Bacterial small signal recognition particle RNA
About the family: The signal recognition particle (SRP) is a universally conserved ribonucleoprotein involved in the co-translational targeting of proteins to membranes.
Source: RNAcentral